GCGUGUGGCUCGAUGUUAGAGCACUUUCCUAGAACGUGUGAGGCCGGGGUUCGAUCCCCAGCAUGGCA
This 68-nucleotide transfer RNA is filed under the name Marmota monax (woodchuck). RNAcentral describes it as "tRNA.Ser". The record is from RNAcentral. Lineage: Eukaryota; Metazoa; Chordata; Mammalia; Rodentia; Sciuridae.